ACGGGAGGCAGCAGUGGGGAAUAUUGCACAAUGGGGGAAACCCUGAUGCAGCGACGCCGCGUGAGUGAAGAAGUAUUUCGGUAUGUAAAGCUCUAUCAGCAGGAAAGAAAAUGACGGUACCUGACUAAGAAGCCCCGGCUAACUACGUGCCAGCAGCCGCGGUAAUACGUAGGGGGCAAGCGUUAUCCGGAUUUACUGGGUGUAAAGGGAGCGUAGACGGUUUUGCAAGUCUGAAGUGAAAUGCCGGGGCUCAACCCCGGAACUGCUUUGGAAACUGUAGAACUAGAGUGCAGGAGAGGUAAGUGGAAUUCCUAGUGUAGCGGUGAAAUGCGUAGAUAUUAGGAGGAACACCAGUGGCGAAGGCGGCUUACUGGGCCGUAACUGACGCUGAGGCGCGAAAGCGUGGGGAGCGAACAGGAUUAGAUACCCUGGUA
Molecule: ribosomal RNA, 434 nt
Filed under: uncultured Clostridium sp.
Lineage: Bacteria; Bacillati; Bacillota; Clostridia; Eubacteriales; Clostridiaceae
Description: partial 16S ribosomal RNA
Rfam family: Bacterial small subunit ribosomal RNA
Source: RNAcentral